Molecule: long non-coding RNA, 2203 nt
Filed under: Homo sapiens (human)
Lineage: Eukaryota; Metazoa; Chordata; Mammalia; Primates; Hominidae
Description: HSALNT0396860
Source: RNAcentral
AAAAAGAGUACUCAGGUGUCCUCCAACUUAGUUCUAUGUUCUCCAACUGUCGCUCUGGUGACACACUGACCUGGGUUUGAGCCUCCACGUUGGGCACUGCUUGCCAUGACCAGCUCGAUCGUGGAGACCCUAACCCAGCAGUGCUAGAGGAAUUAAAGACACAUACACAGAAUAUAGGGUGUGGAGUGGGAAAUCAGGGGUCUCACAGCCUUCUGAGCUGAGAGCCUUGAACAGAGUUUGACCCACACAUUUAUUGAUAGAAAGCCAGUGAUAAGCAUUGCUUCUAUAGAUUAUAGAUUAUAGAUUAGCUAAAAGCAUUCCUUAUGGGAAACAAAGGAUUCUCAGAAAGGAGCAGAGAAACAGGCUCUGGCUGAUUAUCUGCAGCAAAAACAUGCUCUCAAGGCACAGGCUGCUCCUGCUAUCAUUUGCAGUUUGAGCAGUUUUUCCAUCCAGGCUGGGCCAGGUGUCCCUUGCCCUGCUCCAGUAAACCAACAACUUUUAGCAGUGUGCAUGACAGCCAUCACAAGCAUGUCACAUUGCUGCAGAAAUCCUGUUUAUGGCCAGUAUCUUUAAGACCUAUUUAUGAUAGGCUUACGGCUUGCUACCAACAUUGCACCCAAGUUAUGUGACUCUCUCAAAUGUGUCUUACAUGUUGUGUCAUAUUGGGGCUCAAUAUAUCACAUUAGACAUUGUUACAUUUUUCUGGGUUUAACACCUAGGUGAUGUAACUUUUUUUUCUGGGUCUGCCUACAGGGGACCUUGUGACAUAACUCAGUGCCCAUCACCAUGGUGAUGUUACUCUUUUCUCCUGCCUGGUCUCUGCUCAGAGAAAUUGUGACACAUCACUGGCCUAGCAUCUAGGUGAUGUGAUUCUCCUCUUUUUUUCAGGCUCUGCAUAUUUGGGUAUUGUGACAUAUUGCUAAACUUAACACCUAAGGGAUGGGAGUCUCCUACCUGUGCUCUUCCUACAGGGGCAUUGUGACAUGUCUCUGCAUUCCUCACCUAGGAGAUGUGACUCUCCUACCUGCACCCUUCCUACACGGAAAGUUGUGGCAUAUUGCUGUGGCCAGCAACCAGAUGAUGUGUUUCUGCUUCCUGGGUCUUUAUUACAGGAAAGAUGGUUGACAUAUCACAGGGCCCAGCAUCCAGGAUCUGUGGGACAGACCCAGCAGGUGGUGCCCCAUGUAAGAAGCAAUGAAAUGCAUCAUGAUGGAACCCUCAAAAACGAAAGUGAAGUUACUGCACACCCCUUAGGUCCUCUUUGGAUUCCAGCAUGAUGCAUCAAACCUUACCACGGCAUGACUAGGGCCCAACCUGCUACCAGAAAUAAAGGAAAUGACGAUGCAGAACCCACAACCCUGGAUGAUGUGGCUUCCUUGGAUGACACAGGCCCCAGACAUUACCUGGGGAAUGCUGAAGAACACAACUCAGGAGGCUGAACAAAUCUGCUUCAGACACAGAUACCAUUCAAUCCAUAUAAUUUGUUCUUUGCUAUGCUUUUUAUUCCACAUUGCAACUCUUAUAGAAUACUGAUUCUUCUUAUUCUCUCUUUUUGCCUGCAACCCACACCUGCUAUAAACUAUUGGGCCCAUCUUCUAGAUCUGCCUUUCUUACGGCAUUUUACUUGGGAAGGUACCCCCUUCUCAGCCUCUGACAACGUGACCAAUUGGCUGGGAGGUAUUGACUUACCCCCGGUGGGGUCCCUCAGUAAUGGCACACAUUGGACUCAGGUGCCAAGUAACAUUACAUAUCAAUCCUUGAUUGGAAAAGAAUAAUAUUGAUUAUACUCAUGUUUGUCUUAUGUUAUUUACUGGUUCUAGGGUGCAAAGCUGGAACACAAACUGUAACCAUUGCACCAGUCAAACCUGUCGCUGCUCAGAUCUGUAUGCUUCAAUCAACAAAACCUGAUGCAAAAAAACAGAAAAAGGGGAGAUGUGGGAGAUUGGUCAGAGUGGUGGAAAAAGGAUAGGGAAAGAACGCAAAUUUUCUGAAAUGUUGGAAGGUCCUGCAGAGCUCCAGGGGAGAAUAGCUGAAGGCAGCUGUUCUAUAACCCUGAGGCAGAGAGCAAGCAGUAGGUACAAGGGAGUGUGGAAGAAUUUAUCUUAAACAGGCUUAUUUACUUAUGUUGAUCAGGAACUGACCUUUGAUCAUUUGCGUGUGUGACAUUCCCUGAAAGGGGAACAAUAAAUGUUAAUUACCUGCA